GUCCUGGUCGAUUAGUGGUUAAAUCAUCUCGUUGUGGUCUCUUCUCGUUGAUAAUUCUCCGAGAAGCCGAGGGCUCGACUCCCUCCCGGGAUA
Molecule: non-coding RNA, 93 nt
Organism: Paramarasmius palmivorus
Lineage: Eukaryota; Fungi; Basidiomycota; Agaricomycetes; Agaricales; Marasmiaceae
Source: the annotation of a GenBank genome assembly